GACAGAGGGGGCAAGCGUUGCUCGGAAUUACUGGGCGUAAAGGGCGCGUAGGCGGCCUGGUCAGUCGGAUGUGAAAGCCCGGGGCUCAACCCCGGAACGGCAUCCGAGACGGCCAGGCUGGAGACCGGGAGAGGAGAGUGGAAUAGCCAGUGUAGAGGUGAAAUUCGUAGAUAUUGGCUGGAACACCGGUGGCGAAAGCGGCUCUCUGGCCCGGUUCUGACGCUGAGGCGCGAAAGCGUGGGGAGCAAACAGG
RNAcentral lists this ribosomal RNA (253 nucleotides) under uncultured bacterium. RNAcentral's name for it is "partial 16S ribosomal RNA". It matches the Rfam family "Bacterial small subunit ribosomal RNA", at positions 524 to 776 of the family's 1533-position model. The record is from RNAcentral.